This 103-nucleotide ribosomal RNA is filed under the name Periophthalmus magnuspinnatus. Lineage: Eukaryota; Metazoa; Chordata; Actinopteri; Gobiiformes; Gobiidae. The record is from RNAcentral.
GCCAAAUCUCCUUGUCAAAGCCUGAUCUCAAGAGAUCUCAGAAGCUAAACAAGGCUGGGCCUGGUUAAUGCUGGGAUGGGAGACCGCUGGGAAUACCAGGUGC